CGAACGGGUGAGUAACGCGUGAGGAACCUGCCUCAAAGAGGGGGACAACAGUUGGAAACGACUGCUAAUACCGCAUAAGCCCACGGCUCGGCAUCGAGCAGAGGGAAAAGGAGCAAUCCGCUUUGAGAUGGCCUCGCGUCCGAUUAGCUAGUUGGUGAGGUAAUGGCCCACCAAGGCGACGAUCGGUAGCCGGACUGAGGGGUUGAACGGCCACAUUGGGACUGAGACACGGCCCAGACUCCUACGGGAGGCAGCAUG
Molecule: ribosomal RNA, 258 nt
Filed under: uncultured bacterium
Lineage: Bacteria
Description: partial 16S ribosomal RNA
Rfam family: Bacterial small subunit ribosomal RNA
Source: RNAcentral